UCAAUCACUCCACAGUUUUUUUCUAACUUCUAAUUAUUUUUCUUCUAAUAUUUUUUUUUUGUUUGGAUCUAUUCUGCGUAGCGUGCUGUUUUACAUCUUUUAGUUCAAUCGUUUUGUGUAGUAAUGCAAAUGUGCAUAAUAAAUAUACCUAUCAAGUCAUAUAAGUAGACAAGAAUAUUGUUUAGAUAGAUAAUCACAAUAAUACAUUCUAUGCUCGAACAUGCAUUGCUCAUGUUUAAGACAUUCAAAUAUUAUUGCUUGAGAUUGCUUGUACCCGUAACAAUGGGAAGCUUGUAUAAUUGUGAAUUAGUCUUCAUUUUAUUAUUAUAUAUUUUUGUGCCUUUUAGUGUCUAAUCAACAACUAAAUGUUAUUGAGGCUGCUGCUGCUUCUUCUUCUUCGGCGUGAGAGAGAGAAUUCUAUACUAUAAAUGCUUAGGUUUCAAAACAUGGAGAUGUACUAUCCAAGACCCAAACCCAAAAUCUUUAAUUGCUGAAAAGAGGUAUAUAACCACUAAGUUGAGCCUUAGAUUAUAACCCUUCUUUUCUUCGUAUUUUUUCUAUUAUAUAAGUUUUUCUUAUCUUUGAGACACCUUUUGCUAACCACAAAAUGAAGCAAGAAGAAAUAAUUUUCUAAUUUACUCAAAAGAUGAUCGAACACUAUAUUCCAUUAUAAAUAGAAAGAAAAUAUUAGGGGUCUAUAAAAGUGCCUUAACAACCACCAGUUCUAGGUUAACUCUUGAAUGGUGUAUCCCAAAAUCUGGAGCUGGAUAAUAUAGUACAGUGAAUAUCCCUCCCUCUCUCUUAAAAAUAAGUUAGCAAAAUGACUCAGCGAAUUACGGAUGCAUAAGCAUAGCAUGAAAAUCAAUGAGAGGAAUUAUAGAUAUAAAGGCAUUGACCACAUAUUCAUGGAUAUUUUCCCACAAUAGUUGUGUGAGGACUAGCCCACACACAGUAGACUAAUGGGCCAAGCCCAACAUGGCUGGCCCAUCUGAAAAUCCAAGUAGCCUUUCGGGAAGAAGAUGGAGGCGGUAAUCGCCAGCUGUCCGGCGGUUACAACUGCCUGACAGCCACGAUCACCACCACUCUUCUCCCUUCCCAUCGAGUGCCAUAAGAACCCGGGGCUCUUCUCACGGAUGUUUCAUUCCUCACCUCUCACUGCCCCUCACUCCUUUUUUCUCCUGCUACAAGGAACGGAAGAGUAGGGAUCUGAGCCGCCGGAGGGAACAUCAUAGAGUUGUCCCAGAGCUAGGUAAUUGAAGAAUCGGCACCCAAACCUAAGGUUGAUGGGCAAAUUAAGAUGAAUAGGAGAUGCUAGGAACAAGGAGCGUAACAUGCUCCAGGGUUAUGGGAAAGAUGAAUGUUAAAUGUUGAUAUUGUUUUUAGAAGCUUUGUAUGGAUUUUAAUACAUGAACAUUUAAUAACUUUCAUGAAUAUAGUUGUUUACAAUUUGAAGAUUUAAAGUGGCUGCAUGUUAUUGUAUGCUUAACUUGGCAAUAACACGGCCGUGUCAUGAACCGAAUUCGGGGCGUGACAAGUUGUACCAAGGAUUUUAUAAUUUAAGAUUAUGUUAUUAGCAAUGAAUUAUUAA
Non-coding RNA from Phoenix dactylifera (date palm), 1588 nucleotides. The record is from RefSeq and is a predicted model, not a curated record. Lineage: Eukaryota; Viridiplantae; Streptophyta; Magnoliopsida; Arecales; Arecaceae.